AUUGAACGCUGGCGGCAUGCUUUACACAUGCAAGUCGAACGGUAACAGGGAGCUUGCUCCGCUGACGAGUGGCGAACGGGUGAGUAAUAUAUCGGAACGUACCCAAGAGUGGGGGAUAACGUAGCGAAAGUUACGCUAAUACCGCCUACGAUCUAAGGAUGAAAGCAGGGGAUCUUCGGACCUUGUGCUCCUGGAGCGGCCGAUAUCUGAUUAGCUAGUUGGUGAGGUAAAGGCUCACCAAGGCGACGAUCAGUAGCUGGUCUAAGAGGACGACAAGCAACACUGGAACUGAGACACGGUGCAGACUCCUGCGGGAGGCAGCAGUGGGGAAUUUUGGACAAUGGGCGCCAGCGUGAGCGAGCAAUGCCGCGUGGGUGAAGAAGGCCUUGGGGUUGUAAAGCUCUGUUGUCAGGGAAGAAACGGGAGUGGCUAAUAUCCAUUCCUAAUGACGGUACCUGAAGAAUAAGCACCGGCUAACUACGUGCCAGCCGCCGCCGUAA
RNAcentral lists this ribosomal RNA (500 nucleotides) under uncultured bacterium. RNAcentral describes it as "partial 16S ribosomal RNA". It matches the Rfam family "Bacterial small subunit ribosomal RNA", at positions 30 to 523 of the family's 1533-position model. The record is from RNAcentral.